Long non-coding RNA from Cygnus olor (mute swan), 460 nucleotides. RefSeq lists it as uncharacterized. The transcript has 2 exons. The record is from RefSeq and is a predicted model, not a curated record. Lineage: Eukaryota; Metazoa; Chordata; Aves; Anseriformes; Anatidae.
GCUCCUGAAAAAGGCUGCAACCUUCUACUCUACUGGCUUUCAGGAAUUGCAUCGGAAAACCUCAUUUCAGUGAAGUAAACUUCAGCUAUCAAGAAGUUUGCCUAAGCCUCAUCAGCAUCGCCGGUACGGGGGAAGGCCUUGGGAACUUCCCAUGGUUCUUAAGUAAUCUAUAGCAAUGAAGCUACUUAUCCCUAGUAUUACUGGUUUAUAACUCAUUCCUCCAGAGUUAUUUUUCCUCCCCUGACGAAAAACUGACAUAGCAUCAAAAUUCUAAUUCUACACUUCUUCCAGCAAGAAGAGAAAAUGAUGUGUAAGAUACCGGAUCUUUUAUACUGGAAUUUUGUAUGGUACUUUAUAACAUAGUUUAUGGUACAGAACCUUACAAAACCUUGAUGUUUUCUACUUUUUCAUCUGAUGUGCAGCUAUUGUAUACAGCAAUAAAGGCAUUAAGUAUAUACCA